Setaria italica (foxtail millet) is the source of this 562-nucleotide long non-coding RNA. RefSeq lists it as uncharacterized. The transcript has 2 exons. The record is from RefSeq and is a predicted model, not a curated record. Lineage: Eukaryota; Viridiplantae; Streptophyta; Magnoliopsida; Poales; Poaceae.
UUCCCCGUCCGAGGCGAGGCCGGCCCGCGGUGGUCGGACAUUGAUCCGCGCCGCGUUAGGGCUGCACAGCUCCACUACUCCACCACACCCAAUCACACUAUGCACAUAGCAGCCUUCUCUUCUGCUCACACCACUAUUAUCUGCACGUGUGCCAGGGAUUGCAGUGGCUGCGGGCGGGCGUGCAUGCGGCUUGCCAGGAAGCGAACGACGAGGAACGCGGCUAUUUAAAGAGGCGGCGAAGCAGGCGGGAAGCGAGAGGGACGCCAUGGCGCUUGGCUUGCGGUGAGCUGGUGCCCCGGGAGCGAACAACACUGCCCAGGUCCAUCCAAUGUGUUAUGUCAUGCAUGCUGACAGUGUUUGAACAUCAAAUUGAAGUACCGCCAAUUCAGUUCUAGCAAGGACACCGCAAAAGCAUGCUAGCUGAUGGAGUACACUUUAUAAUGGGUAAUUUACUGAUGGGACUAUAAUAUGUGGUUACUAAUCGUGGAAUGUCGUGUCAUGAAACUACUGUUACUUUGAAAUAUAAGAAGAGGCGGCAUAUAAAGCUAGUCUUCUCUGUGCA